GGGGUCAUAGAUCAGGGGUAGAUCGCAAGCUUCGCAUGCUUGAGGUCCAGGGUUCAAAUCCCUGUGGCUCCA
This 72-nucleotide transfer RNA is filed under the name Taphrina deformans PYCC 5710. Its description in RNAcentral is "tRNA-Ala (CGC) (tRNA-Ala-CGC-1-1)". It matches the Rfam family "tRNA". Rfam says of the family: Transfer RNA (tRNA) molecules are approximately 80 nucleotides in length. Their secondary structure includes four short double-helical elements and three loops (D, anti-codon, and T loops). The record is from RNAcentral. Lineage: Eukaryota; Fungi; Ascomycota; Taphrinomycetes; Taphrinales; Taphrinaceae.